Molecule: ribosomal RNA, 226 nt
Filed under: uncultured bacterium
Lineage: Bacteria
Description: partial 16S ribosomal RNA
Rfam family: Bacterial small subunit ribosomal RNA
Source: RNAcentral
UCGUUACUCGGAAUUACUGGGCGUAAAGCGUGCGUAGGUGGUUUGUUAAGUCUGAUGUGAACGCCCUGGGCUCAACCUGGGAAUUGCAUUGGAUACUGGCGAGCUCGAGUGCGGUAGAGGGUAGUGGAAUUCCCGGUGUAGCAGUGAAAUGCGUAGAGAUCGGGAGGAACACCAGUGGCGAAGGCGACUACCUGGACCAGCACUGACACUGAGGCACGAAAUCGUG